Non-coding RNA from Meleagris gallopavo (turkey), 3487 nucleotides. Lineage: Eukaryota; Metazoa; Chordata; Aves; Galliformes; Phasianidae. The record is from RefSeq and is a predicted model, not a curated record.
CCUGAGUGCUGGAGUUCAAGGAGCAUCUGGACGUUGCGUUUGGGUUUGGGUGGUGCUGUGAGAGUUGGGGGCUGCACUCAGUGAUCCAUGUGGGUCCCUCCAACAUGGGAUAUUCUCUGACUCUGAUUCAGUUGUUUGAAAUUGCAAAUCUCAAGAAACAAACAAACAAAAAGCCAAAAACAUACAAGCAAGAGCGCGGCACGGUAACCCGCCCGACCCCGCUUAUCUGCCCCCACAUCCCGCGCACGGCCCCGCAGCGCCGCGGCUCCCUCACUCCCUCUGCUGGCGGGCGGCAGCGCGGCCGGACAUGCGCAGUGGCGCUCCUGACGAGUUAUGGCGGAGCCGCGGGGAGCGGCGGGGCGGGCUGGUGGAGUCGGGUCGUGCUGCCCUACGGCGACGUGAUAUGGCAGGACACAGAAAUAGAUGCGCGGGUGGGACAGGGCGGUAGGGACGGGUCAUAGGUUCACUGGUGUCAUUGGCGUUAGUUCUGUCACACCACAAAUACGUACUGUUUCUCACCAGUGCGUAAUGGAUUUGAAGCUUUCCUCACAGUCGUCUGCACGAGUUCUUCUGCAGAUGUACGUUUUGUAAAAUAAAUGCUGAAGGCAGCAGAGACAUGCUGUGAGUGACCAGGUAAAUUGUUUGAUCUGCUCGGCCGAUUGCAGUCAAACUGAACAUCAGAUUUUAUUUCUUCUUAAUGAAGGAGAAGCAGGGGAAGAGCGAGCCCCUAAAACAGCAGUGGCUGCAACCCUGCUCCCCUCAGAGCCAGUGCUGCCCAUGGGGAAUGUGCUCGAAAUCCCAUCUGUGUUUCCAAACUGAUGUUAAAUUAUUGCACACAUCUCGGUAUUUGCUGUGCAUGGAUGUAUCUUCUGUUGGGAAACAACACAUUGCAGCGAUGGAAGAUAACCUGAAUUCUUCCAUCCCGUUAACUGCAGGAGGUCUUCUGCCCGAAGGGCCGUGUCUGGCAGGCAGGCUGGUUGGGCAUCACAGCUCAGCGCUGGGGUUUCAGUGACCUGCAUACAGCUGCUGGCUGCGGCUGAGCCGGAUGGAGCCAUGGCUGUAUGGCUGUAUUGGAGACUGAAGUGAGCCCAGUUGGGAAGGAGUGGCAAAACACCCCAUUGCGACCAGCCCAGAGGCUCCAUGCAACCUUGGUAUAGAUCACCUCACAAGAAGACACCUCAAGGUGUCAUUUGGUUUAACCUGGCAGGCAUCUAAGCACCACACCUUUUAGUCCCCAGCAAAUGUAAGGCAGAAUUACAGAAAAUAAGCUUUUUAAUCCCCCAUAAGUUCAGCGUGCCUUGUGCACCUACUGCAAAGGGAAACUCAGAACUGGAUUUUAGAAUGAGGUUUUUGGAAGCAUAGAGCCUGCAGCUGAACACUGCUCUGGGGAGUGGGGGAGGGAGGCAGUGCCUGCAGGUCUGAGGCAUCACCUCGCUGUGUUCUACCUUAGGCUGCAGAACUGACAUCAGUCUGUUUUCUCUUGGAAUGCUUGAUUUCGUGGUUGAAUGGCUGAGAGCUGAUCCAGAUACCAUGGCCUCCUCACAGUUAGAGAAUCACAGAAUCAUUAAGACAACAACUGCAUGAUGAGAACACUGGCAAUGCUGGAGUGCUACUUGGGCACCAGCUGCUGCAGCCCCACUGCCCCAGAGGGCCAACAGGGUCACUGUCGCUGCUGCAAGGAGCUUGGCACAGAAGAACAUCCCUGGAGCAGCCAUAGCUCUUUACCACUAUCGGUACCAGACCCUUCCCAUGGCAACAUCCCAUGUCCAGCAGUGAAAGUGCCUGGAGGCAGAAAAAGUUAGGUUAUCUAUUUAUGUAUCCAGACAUUGAGUUCUGAACAACAAAGCUGUGGCUUCGGUAGAUUUUUUGUCACUUUCUGCUUCCUGGUGAGCACAGAGUGAGCAGGCGUUGGUAAGUGGAAAAGCUUUUCUUACUGCAGUGAAGAGCCCAGGUCCCACUCGGUACCACCAUCACCUCUCUCCUGCUUCAGACUUGAAGGGGAGGUUUGCUCUGAGUCUGGCAAGCACCGAGUGCAUCUGAGACAAUAUGGAGGUGGCAGAAAAUAGCAGUGCUGAUUUGCUUUUGUGAUACGUCAGGGCAGUGUGUGAUACAGGCACUUUGGCACACAACAGUGGGUUUCUCAUGCCUGUUCCUAACGUGCUUCGUUCCCUUGUUGCUUUGGCUUCUCUGCCUUAGUUACACCGUGAGCUCCCCAGGUUCACUGAGGCUCUUCAGAGGCCAUGCAGGGGCUUUACAGUGUGGAGGGCCACUCCUGAAGCUGGCACCAUCAGCUUGCCCUGAGACAAAAUAUCACAAUUCACAAAAGCACUAGAAGCACGAAUCACAAAAUGAUUCCAUUACCUGUCAGCACUAUAAAUGCCUCCAGUUAGCAGAGGCCUGUGCUGGGUAUGGUUCUUUGGUGAAGGUGAUCAUAAACACCUCUCAGGGAAGUGAGGGAAGUGCACUGUAUUUGCCCGUGGAGCUACCAAGAAACGGAGCAAUUAAUAAAGGACACUUCUAACAUUUUUGCUGAGAAAAGGACAUUCUGUAAAUCCCAGUCCAUAACCCUUUCCAAAAAGUAAUGCAAAACUGUCACAGCGCAGGAGGGGAAUGAAGCAGCACCAGCUUUCAGUAUUGCUGUGAUGUAGUGAACCUCCUCAGGGAGCGUUUUACAAGCCAAAAUUUCUACUCAGUUGAUGCUAAGGAAGGGUUCAACAUGGGAUUUUCCCCCUUUCCAUUAGCAUUUUAAUUAGACUUUCAUAUUAUCUUGGGUUGUACAGCUUGCGAGGAAUACCUUGUGAAGGAAAAAAACUUUAUACCUGUAUCUCCCUGUGUGUUUUCUUUGUGUGAAACAAGCAGAAAUUUGAGAGCCCAGGUGGGCAGCGGGGACCCCGACUCAAUGGUAACACUGCAGCCCGCAAGCUGCAUCUCGUGCUCAUAAAUCAGCCCAAUUAUUCUAAUGAGGAGAGCUGGGUCCCUCUGCUUCGAGCCCUGCUGGUUUACUGAGAGAGGAGAGCAAAUAAUAGAGAACAAUGGCAGCUUUUGGGUUGGGGGUGGGCAAAGGGAUGGGGGACAAUGGGCGAUGCUUCUCACCACUGCCACUUCAGGAGGGCAGCAGGGCGGCUCUGCAUGAGCCCCGGCUGUUAUUCCAGGUCAGAACGGAAAGUGGUUCCUUUUCUUGCUCUGUAUUAGUUUAAGUUUUCUUGCAAUGGUGAAAAUUAGAAACUUGUUUUUCUGCAAUGUCAACGCAGGUUCUUAUUUACUCCGUGAAUCUGGGAGCUGAAGCUCCAAGAAAACCACAAACUACCAUGAGAUUUAUUAAUGAAAGAUGAGAGCCAAAAUUACAAGCGGCCCCAUUCUUUGUUUUCUAUGUUUUCAUCCUGGUCCCUCCUAUUGUCCCCUCUCAGCGAUGACUGAAACAAAUCAUUCAGGUCUAGAUCUCUUAUUAUGACACUCACAGAGCCUCCUUGCUAUUGUUUUGGCCAAA